GAUGAACGCUGGCGGCGUGCCUAAUACAUGCAAGUCGAGCGAACAGACGAGGAGCUUGCUCCUUUGACGUUAGCGGCGGACGGGUGAGUAACACGUAGGUAACCUACCUAUAAGACUGGGAUAACUUCGGGAAACCGGAGCUAAUACCGGAUAAUAUUUCGAACCGCAUGGUUCGAUAGUGAAAGAUGGCUUUGCUAUCACUUAUAGAUGGACCUGCGCCGUAUUAGCUAGUUGGUAAGGUAACGGCUUACCAAGGCAACGAUACGUAGCCGACCUGAGAGGAUGAUCGGCCACACUGGAACUGAGACACGGUCCAGACUCCUACGGGAGGCAGCAGUAGGGAAUCUUCCGCAAUGGGCGAAAGCCUGACGGAGCAACGCCGCGUGAGUGAUGAAGGUCUUCGGAUCGUAAAACUCUGUUAUUAGGGAAGAACAAACGUGUAAGUAACUGUGCACGUCUUGACGGUACCUAAUCAGAAAGCCACGGCUAACUACGUG
This 497-nucleotide ribosomal RNA is filed under the name uncultured bacterium. RNAcentral's name for it is "partial 16S ribosomal RNA". It matches the Rfam family "Bacterial small subunit ribosomal RNA", at positions 28 to 507 of the family's 1533-position model. The record is from RNAcentral.